AUUGGUGACUUCAAUAAAAUACUACUGUCAUCAGAAAAAGAAGGAGGAGCCCAGCGGCAACAGUCUAGGCUUAAAGCGUUCCAAGAUGCCCUGACAGACUGCUCCUCGGAGGAUAUUGGAUACCAUGGCGACAAAUUUACCUUUUUCAGAGGAGGGCUAUGAGAAAGGUUGGAUCGAGCAGUAUCAAAUCCGGGAUGGAUGGAUAUGCAUCCUUUAUGUGGUCUUAUAAACCUAGAUAUGGGCAAGUCGGAACACAGACCUAUAUGUUUGGAUAAUGUAUACCUGGCAGAUGUCGCAGCUCAAAGGCGUCGGGCAGGAAGAAAGUUUGAGGCAAGAUGGUUAGAAGAGGAAUUGGUGGAGGAAGUAGUGAGGACGGCGUGA
This 381-nucleotide ribosomal RNA is filed under the name Triticum aestivum (bread wheat). RNAcentral describes it as "partial small subunit ribosomal RNA". The record is from RNAcentral. Lineage: Eukaryota; Viridiplantae; Streptophyta; Magnoliopsida; Poales; Poaceae.